UACGGAGGUUGCAAGCGUUAAUCGGAAUUACUGGGCGUAAAGCGCGCGUCGGUGGCUUGAUAAGCCGGUUGUGAAAGCCCCGGGCUCGACCUGGGAACGGCAUCCGGAACUGUCAAGAUAGCGUACAGGAGAGGAAGGUAGAAUUCCCGGUGUAGCGGUGAAAUGCGUAGAGAUAGGGAGGAAUACCAGUGGCGAAGGCGGCCUUCUGGACUGACACUGACGCUGAGGUGCGAAAGCGUGGGUAGCAAACAGG
This 253-nucleotide unclassified non-coding RNA is filed under the name uncultured Halomonadaceae bacterium. Its description in RNAcentral is "contains 16S-23S intergenic spacer region". It matches the Rfam family "Bacterial small subunit ribosomal RNA", at positions 524 to 776 of the family's 1533-position model. The record is from RNAcentral. Lineage: Bacteria; Pseudomonadati; Pseudomonadota; Gammaproteobacteria; Oceanospirillales; Halomonadaceae.